AGACCGAUAGCGAACAAGUAGAGUGAUCGAAAGAUGAAAAGCACUUUGGAAAGAGAGUCAAACAGCACGUGAAAUUGUUGAAAGGGAAGCGCUUGCAGCCAGACUUGCUUGCAGUUGCUCAUCCGGGCUUUUGCCCGGUGCACUCUUCUGCAGGCAGGCCAGCAUCAGUUUGGGCGGUAGGAUAAAGGUCUCUGUCACGUACCUCUCUUCGGGGAGGCCUUAUAGGGGAGACGACAUACUACCAGCCUGGACUGAGGUCCGCGCRYCUGCUAGGAUGCUGGCG
Molecule: ribosomal RNA, 283 nt
Filed under: Alternaria sp.
Lineage: Eukaryota; Fungi; Ascomycota; Dothideomycetes; Pleosporales; Pleosporaceae
Description: partial large subunit ribosomal RNA
Source: RNAcentral